CAGUAGCCGCGGGAAUGCGUAGGGUGCGAGCGUUAAUCGGAAUUACUGGGCGUAAAGCGUGCGUAGGCGGUUUGUUAAGUCUGUUGUGAAAUCCCCGGGCUCAACCUGGGAAUGGCAAUGGAUACUGGCAAGCUAGAGUGUGUCAGAGGAUGGUGGAAUUCCCGGUGUAGCGGUGAAAUGCGUAGAGAUCGGGAGGAACAUCAGUGGCGAAGGCGGCCAUCUGGGACAACACUGACGCUGUGGCACGAAAGCGUGGGGAGCAAACAGGAUUAGAUACCCCAGUAGUCCCUGUCUCUUAUAC
Molecule: ribosomal RNA, 301 nt
Filed under: uncultured bacterium
Lineage: Bacteria
Description: partial 16S ribosomal RNA
Rfam family: Bacterial small subunit ribosomal RNA
Source: RNAcentral